RNAcentral lists this small nucleolar RNA (146 nucleotides) under Drosophila persimilis. RNAcentral describes it as "snoRNA:GL28024". The record is from RNAcentral. Lineage: Eukaryota; Metazoa; Arthropoda; Insecta; Diptera; Drosophilidae.
AGCAACUUCUACCCAUUGGUUGGUCAAACUAGCAUUCAUCGUUGAUCCGACUAAGAUUCAAAGUUGCCAGAUCAAAGUCCAGGCUUUACUUACCAUGCACUAGGCUGCUCUUCGAGCAUAGCCAGGGCAGAAGUAGAAGAGUCACA